Molecule: ribosomal RNA, 2896 nt
Filed under: Clostridioides difficile
Lineage: Bacteria; Bacillati; Bacillota; Clostridia; Peptostreptococcales; Peptostreptococcaceae
Description: bacterial LSU rRNA
Rfam family: Bacterial large subunit ribosomal RNA
Source: RNAcentral
UCAAGUUAUUAAGGGUGCAGGGCGGAUGCCUUGGCACUAGGAGCCGAUGAAGGACGUGAUAAGCUGCGAUAAGCUUCGGGGAGUUGCACGUAAACUUUGAUCCGAAGAUUUCCGAAUGAGGAAACUCACUUAGAGUAAUGUCUAAGUAUCAUUAAGUGAAUACAUAGCUUAAUGAGGGGAACUCAGGGAACUGAAACAUCUAAGUACCUGAAGGAAGAGAAAGAAAUUCGAUUCCGUAAGUAGCGGCGAGCGAACGCGGAUUAGCCCAAACCAAUAAAGUUUUCUUUAUUGGGGUUGCGGACAUAUCAUAACGAAGAGGUAUCGUAAUUGAAGAGGUUUGGAAAGACCCACCACAGAAGGUAAUAGUCCUGUAUGUUAAACGAGAAGACUUUAGAUAUGAUCCAGAGUACCACGGGACACGUGAAACCCUGUGGGAAGCAGGAGGGACCACCCUCCAAGGCUAAAUACUACCUAGUGACCGAUAGCGUAUAGUACCGUGAGGGAAAGGUGAAAAGAACCCCGGGAGGGGAGUGAAAUAGAACCUGAAACCCUGCACUUACAAGCUGUGGAAGCACAUUUCUUGUGUGACCGCGUACUUUUUGUAGAACGGGCCAACGAGUUACGUUAAGUAGCAAGGUUAAGCACUUAAGGUGCGGAGCCGUAGCGAAAGCGAGUUUUAACUGAGCGUUCAGUUACUUGACGUAGACCCGAAACCGGGCGACCUACCCAUGAGCAGGAUGAAGCGAAAGUAAAAUUUCGUGGAGGUCCGAACCCACGAGCGUUGAAAAGCUCGGGGAUGACUUGUGGGUAGCGGUGAAAUUCCAAUCGAGCCCGGAGAUAGCUGGUUCUCCCCGAAAUAGCUUUAGGGCUAGCCUCAAGGUGAGAGAUACGGAGGUAGAGCACUGAAUGUCCUAGGGGGUAUUGCACCUACCGAAGACUAUCAAACUCCGAAUGCCGUCAUCUUAUACUUGGGAGUCAGACUGUGGGUGAUAAGAUUCAUAGUCGAAAGGGCAACAGCCCAGAUCGUCAGCUAAGGUCCCUAAAUGUAAGUUAAGUGGUAAAGGAUGUGGGAUUGCACAGACAACCAGGAUGUUGGCUUAGAAGCAGCCACUCAUUCAAAGAGUGCGUAAUAGCUCACUGGUCGAGUGAUCCUGCGCCGAAGAUUUCCGGGGCUAAAACUUACUACCGAAGCUACGGCAUCAGUAAUGAUGGGUAGGGGAGCUUCCCAUACGGGUUGAAGCAUGACCGUAAGGACAUGUGGACAGUAUGGGAGUGAGAAUGUUGGCAUGAGUAGCGAGAUGUGGGUGGGAAUCCCACAGGCCGUAAACCCAAGGUUUCCAGGGGAAGGUUCGUCCGCCCUGGGUUAGUCGGGACCUAAGCUGAGGCCGAAAGGCGUAGGUGAUGGACAACAGGUUGAUAUUCCUGUACUACCGAUAACCGUUUGAGAGAAGGGAUGACACAGUAGGAUAAGCUAAGCACACUGUUGGUUAUGUGUGCCCAAGCAUUGAGGCAGUCAAAGUAGGCAAAUCCGCUUUGAUAAUGCUGGGAUGUGAUGGGGAGCGAAAUUUAGUAGCGAAGUAGCUGAUUUCACACUGUCAAGAAAAGUCUCUAUCGAGGUUAAAGGUACCCGUACCGCAAACCGACACAGGUGGGUGAGGAGAGUAUCCUAAGGCCAGCGAGAGAACUGUUGUUAAGGAACUCGGCAAAAUGACCCCGUAACUUAGGGAUAAGGGGUGCCACCAUCAGGUGGCCGCAGAGAAUAGGCCCAAGCGACUGUUUACCAAAAACAUAGGUUUCUGCUAAGUCGCAAGACGAUGUAUAGGAGCUGACGCCUGCCCGGUGCUGGAAGGUUAAGGGGAUCUGUUAGAGCAAUCGAAGCAGUGAACUUAAGCCCCAGUAAACGGCGGCCGUAACUAUAACGGUCCUAAGGUAGCGAAAUUCCUUGUCGGGUAAGUUCCGACCCGCACGAAAGGCGUAACGAUUUGGGCACUGUCUCAACAACAGACUCGGUGAAAUUGUAAUUCCGGUGAAGAUGCCGGAUACCUGCGACAGGACGGAAAGACCCCAUGGAGCUUUACUGUAGCUUGACAUUGGGUCUUGGUACUACAUGUACAGGAUAGGUGGGAGGCUUUGAAACCAGGACGCCAGUUUUGGCGGAGCCAUCCUUGGGAUACCACCCUUGUAGUACUGGGACUCUAACCAUAGGCCAUGAAUCUGGUCUUGGGACACUGUCAGGUGGGCAGUUUGACUGGGGCGGUCGCCUCCCAAAAGGUAACGGAGGCGCUCAAAGGUUCUCUCAGUACGGUCGGAAAUCGUACGUAGAGUGUAAAGGCAAAAGAGAGCUUGAUUGCAAGACAUACAGGUCGAGCAAGGAUGAAAAUCGGACUUAGUGAUCCGGUGGUUCUGCGUGGAAGGGCCAUCGCUCAACGGAUAAAAGCUACCCUGGGGAUAACAGGCUUAUCUCCCCCAAGAGUCCACAUCGACGGGGAGGUUUGGCACCUCGAUGUCGGCUCAUCACAUCCUGGGGCUGUAGUAGGUCCCAAGGGUUGGGCUGUUCGCCCAUUAAAGUGGUACGCGAGCUGGGUUCAGAACGUCGUGAGACAGUUCGGUCCCUAUCCGUCGCAGGCGUAGGAAAUUUGAGAAGACCUGUCCUUAGUACGAGAGGACCGGGAUGGACGUACCUCUGGUGUACCAGUUGUCCUGCCAAGGGCAUGGCUGGGUAGCUAUGUACGGAAUGGAUAAGCGCUGAAAGCAUCUAAGCGCGAAGCCAACUUCAAGAUAAGAUUUCCCACCGCAAGGGUAAGACCCCAGAAAGACUAUCUGGUUGAUAGGUCGAAGGUGUAAGUGCAGCAAUGUAUUUAGCUUAUCGAUACUAAUAGGUCGAGGACUUGACCAA